CCUACGGGAGACUGCAGUGGGGAAUAUUGCGCAAUGGGCGAAAGCCUGACGCAGCGACGCCGCGUGAGGGAUGAAGGUCUUCGGAUCGUAAACCUCUUUUGUCGGGGAGCAAAGCGAGUCACGUGUGACUCAUUGAGAGUACCCGAAGAAAAAGCAUCGGCUAACUCCGUGCCAGCAGCCGCGGUAAUACGGAGGAUGCGGGCGUUAUCCGGAUUUAUUGGGUUUAAAGGGUGCGCAGGCGGAGGUGCAAGUCAGCGGUCAAAUUGCGGGGCUCAACCCCGUACUGCCGUUGAAACUGCAUCCCUUGAGUGCGCGAGAAGUAUGCGGAAUGCGUGGUGUAGCGGUGAAAUGCAUAGAUAUCACGCAGAACUCCGAUUGCGAAGGCAGCAUACCGGCGCGCAACUGACGCUCAUGCACGAAAGCGUGGGUAUCGAACAGGAUUAGAUACCCUGGUAGUC
RNAcentral lists this ribosomal RNA (458 nucleotides) under uncultured bacterium. RNAcentral describes it as "partial 16S ribosomal RNA". It matches the Rfam family "Bacterial small subunit ribosomal RNA", at positions 338 to 795 of the family's 1533-position model. The record is from RNAcentral.